RNAcentral lists this long non-coding RNA (984 nucleotides) under Homo sapiens (human). RNAcentral's name for it is "HSALNT0370475". Lineage: Eukaryota; Metazoa; Chordata; Mammalia; Primates; Hominidae. The record is from RNAcentral.
GGCCUUCCAAAGUGUUGGGAUUAUACAGGCGUGAGCCACUGUGCCCGGCCCCAUUUUUUCUUAUCAUUAAAAGUUCUACCUUUAAGGGCUGCACAUGCUGCUAAAGGGAUAUUAUCUGCUUUACUUACCAGAUCCCCCACUGCUGGACACUUAGGUUGUUUUGUUUCCAGUUUGUCACUCUUAUGAACAAUGAUGGAACAGCUUAUAUAUAAACCCCUGUCCCCAUUCUGGACAUUUCCUUCCAAUCCCAGAAGUAGAACUCGUGAUUGAGCAGUUAGUCACAUUCAUUUCCUCCCUGGCAGCGGCUCAUGUGCCCACUGCUUAGCAUUCAUUUUUUUUGCCAGGGGUAUGGGGCAAUAACCUUUGUAUUUUUCCUCUUGCUGAACUCCUAGACCCUGAAUAUAAGACUACUGGCUGGCCCAUGGAGAGCAAACGUUUUCCUCUGCUGCGAUGCUGUCUUUGACAUUGCCCUGGUGCCUGCUUCCGACCCCCAGGAGAAAGUGCUGUAUAAAGAGGUUCACCUAAUUAACACCCACUGGACUGCAAACUCGACAAGGCAAGGCCAGACUGCAUGUUUUUGCACUCCCUUCCACCCCUACCCUGCUGGAAUUCUUCUACCUACCAUGAAGUAUGACCCACAGUCCAACCCAACAAAGAUCUGCUGAUGGAAGAAACGGGGCAAUGCCUGUACAUGGGGCCUUCAGGUCCGGCUGGAACAAGGCGGCUUCCCUGUUUUACUCUGCUGUGGCCUGUUUGUUUAGGUGGCAGGGGCUUGGACAAUGGGCGUCCAUGCCGAGAUACAAUGGAGCUGUCAAUUAAGAUGCCCCGCCUUCCCCUGGCAGAGGGUCAGAUGCUCUGCCCUGGGAAUUUGAAUGAAUCCCUCAGCCGGCCCAGCUACUCACUGCUCUGGUCCCAUCUGACCCAGGUGGUCUCACCAUUCUCCCCCACCUUCUGCCUUCUAAUAAAUUCCUUUCGUGCCUGAUA